UGGGGAAUAUUGGACAAUGGGGGCAACCCUGAUCCAGCGACGCCGCGUGUGUGAAGAAGGCCUGCGGGUUGUAAAGCACUUUUAGUGGGGACAAAAAGCCAAGGGCUAAUACCCUUUGGUCUUGAUUUAACCCAAAGAAAAAGCACCGGCUAACUCUGUGCCAGCAGCCGCGGUAAUACAGAGGGUGCGAGCGUUAAUCGGAAUUACUGGGCGUAAAGCGAGCGUAGUCGGUUAUUUAAGUCGGGUGUGAAAUCCCCGGGCUCAACCUGGGAAUUGCAUUCGAUACUGGAUAGCUAGAGUUCGGCAGAGGGAAGCGGAAUUUCCGGUGUAGCGGUGAAAUGCGUAGAUAUCGGAAGGAACAUCAGUGGCGAAAGCGGCUUCCUGGACCAGAACUGACGAUCAGGCUCGAAAGCGUGGGGAGCAAACAG
RNAcentral lists this ribosomal RNA (428 nucleotides) under uncultured bacterium. Its description in RNAcentral is "bacterial SSU rRNA". It matches the Rfam family "Bacterial small subunit ribosomal RNA", at positions 355 to 775 of the family's 1533-position model. The record is from RNAcentral.